RNAcentral lists this ribosomal RNA (497 nucleotides) under uncultured bacterium. RNAcentral describes it as "partial 16S ribosomal RNA". It matches the Rfam family "Bacterial small subunit ribosomal RNA", at positions 28 to 507 of the family's 1533-position model. The record is from RNAcentral.
GAUGAACGCUGGCGGCGUCCCUAAUACAUGCAAGUCGAGCGAACAGACGAGGAGCUUGCUCCUCUGACGUUAGCGGCGGACGGUGGAGUAACACGUGGAUAACCUACCUAUAAGACUGGGAUAACUUCGGGAAACCGGAGCUAAUACCGGAUAAUAUAUUUAACCGCAUGGUUCAAUAUUGAAAGACGGUUUUGCUGUCACUUAUAGAUGGAUCCGCGCCGCAUUAGCUAGUUGGUAAGGUAACGGCUUACCAAGGCAACGAUGCGUAGCCGACCUGAGAGGGUGAUCGGCCACACUGGAACUGAGACACGGUCCAGACUCCUACGGGAGGCAGCAGUAGGGAAUCUUCCGCAAUGGGCGAAAGCCUGACGGAGCAACGCCGCGUGAGUGAUGAAGGUCUUUGGAUCGUAAAACUCUGUUAUUAGGGAAGAACAAAUGUGUAAGUAACUAUGCACGUCUUGACGGUACCUAAUCAGAAAGCCACGGCUAACUACGUG